CAUUUAAUUUACAUAACAUAAAUGAAAUAAAAUAUUUGAAAAUUCAAGUCUAACGAGCUACAUUUAAUAAAACUCAAUGAAAACCUCAUGGAUCUGUGCUUUUUCAUGCUUGAAUGAAUAGUAAUAAAGCUGCGCCCGCCUACAGUUUUCUGAACAAACAGAAUUAUUCGAACCUGCUACAUAUUCAGAACUGAAGGCUACGGGUCUCAUACUGUCUAACCUAUUUGUGAUGAUGGGAGCGCCUCUACAAUGGCGAGAUUCUUACUGUUAAAAUCGUUUUUGACGACUUAAAAGCCUCUCGAGUUAGGGCUUCCGAUGAUACCAAUUGUGAUGAUGUCAUUUUUAAGGUGACUGGCCUCUACAGUUUAUUUCAACUGUAUUGAUUUAAGCCCUUAAAAAUAAUUAGCCUCAGACUGCACAUUACCGAUUGAUCUCAAAACCUAUGGGGUUAUUUAGAGGCAUCUAGGAUCGGGAAUGCGAGAAUAUCCAUUACCAAUUAUGAUGAUAAACGAACCUCUAGGCUUAGAAACCUCAGAUUUUCUAUUCCCGAUUAUGAUGAUUUGCGGAACUCUUAGCUUUAAAGCCUUAGACUUUCCGAAAUGAAUUUAUGUUGAUUUCCAGAUUUGUAAUAUGAUGUUAUUCUAAAUGUGUUAUCCUCAACCCCUGUAAGGUCGAUAGUCACGAAAUAUCCAUUAUAAAAUAUGAUGAUUAAAGGACCUAUAGAGUCUAGAAUCUGUGCGUGUCCAUUACCGAUUAUGACGGUUUAAAGGCCUGUGACGUCAGGAAUUUCAGACUGUCUAUUAUUAAUUUUUGAUGUGAUGACCAUAACGGGAUGAGGAUGAGAAUUUCCGUCUGUUGAGAACAGAUCCUGAUGACUUACAUGUCUUUGAGGUCGAGAACCUCAAAGUGUGCACACCAAAUGUGAUGAUUUAAAGGCCGUUUAGGUCAAUAGAGUCCGACUAUUCAUUAUAGAUUACGAUGAUUAAAAGGCUUCUUGAUUCAUACCUCAAACUGCCUAUUACCGAUUUGUGAUGAUCGGUAACACUCCAGAGACCUUUUUCUUUAGGAUCGAGAACUUGAGACACUACCAAAUAUGACAUAAAGGUCUCUAGGCUUCAUUUCAUUCAAAAAUAGAAUAAAGAAAACAUCCAGAAUGUAUAUUUUGUGUAUCAACAUGAUGUCGUGUUUUGCUUUCAUAUCCAUAUCAAGACUGGUAUUCAAGACUGGUAUUGAUUAGGAACUUAACCACCAACAUAACUCGUCAGAUUUUGCAUGGACUGCAUGGAAUCUUAAUUAAAAUGUUAUUUCUCCUUUAAAAACCUGGCUGUAUUCUAAUUGCUUGAAUCUAAAAUCUUAAACCAGUACUUGUUUCAUUGAGGAAAUAACAUGGGAAAAUGUGUAUAUUUGGCUAUGUUUAUGAGUUAUGAAUGAAAGCGUAAGAUGCCGCGUAUGAAUGACGAAAACGAUUGCUUUCACUGACUUCAUUAAUUGAUUAAUCGAUUGAUCAUGUUAUGAUAUGCAGCAUUGCAGCAUUGCAGCAUCCAAAAUUACCUACAUGGAUGCAUUAAUGGACAGGCAUCAUUUGAUAAGCUACUAAAACGGGAUUUAUAUUAACUCGCAAGAGACUCGCAUAAUUAUUAUUUCAGAAUAUUGAAAAACAAAUUGACUAUUUUAAAUUCGCAUUGACUGUUAGAACCAGAUCCAGAUCUAUUUUGAUGAAGUGUAUUGCAUAUAUUUAAUGCAAUUAGUUCUAAGAUAUUUAGUUGUAAGAUAUUUAGUUGUAAGAUUGAAAGUUAAAACCAGAUUCAGAUCCAUUUUGAUGAUGUAUAUUGCAUAUCUUUAAUGCAAUUAGUUGUAAGAUAUUUAGUUUUAAGAUGAAAUAUAUUUAUA
This is a long non-coding RNA of Teleopsis dalmanni, 1890 nucleotides long. RefSeq lists it as uncharacterized. The transcript has 3 exons. NCBI's taxonomy places the organism in Eukaryota, Metazoa, Arthropoda, Insecta, Diptera, Diopsidae. The record is from RefSeq and is a predicted model, not a curated record.